GUCCUCUCAGGAUCACACCUGGAGAGUUUUCAGUACUCUACCAGUCUCGUCUGAGAGGGAGAGUCAAGCAGAGGCCUACCCAUUCCAUUCCUAGCUUGGGCAGUGGCUAGCAAGUGGAAGGCAAUCUGCUACAAGU
Molecule: small nucleolar RNA, 136 nt
Organism: Ornithorhynchus anatinus (platypus)
Lineage: Eukaryota; Metazoa; Chordata; Mammalia; Monotremata; Ornithorhynchidae
Source: RefSeq, a predicted model, not a curated record